UACGUAGGGGGCGAGCGUUGCUCGGAAUUACUGGGCGUAAAGGGCGCGUAGGCGGGAUGGCAAGUCGGUCGUGAAAUCCCUCGGCUCAACUGAGGAUCGUCGAUCGAUACUGCCGUUCUUGAGGAUUGCAGAGGAGACUGGAAUUCCCGGUGUAGCGGUGAAAUGUGUAGAGAUCGGGAGGAACACCGGUGGCGAAGGCGGGUCUCUGGGCAAUUCCUGACACUGAGACACGAAGGCCAGGGGAGCAAACGGG
Molecule: ribosomal RNA, 253 nt
Filed under: uncultured bacterium
Lineage: Bacteria
Description: partial 16S ribosomal RNA
Rfam family: Bacterial small subunit ribosomal RNA
Source: RNAcentral